This 168-nucleotide unclassified non-coding RNA is filed under the name uncultured Herpotrichiellaceae. Its description in RNAcentral is "sequence contains ITS2". The record is from RNAcentral. Lineage: Eukaryota; Fungi; Ascomycota; Eurotiomycetes; Chaetothyriales; Herpotrichiellaceae.
UCCUCUCUCAAACCCCGGGUUUGGUGUUGGACCGCUGUCGGGGGGUCAUCCCCCGACUGGUCCCAAAGACAAUGACGGCGUCCGUGGGACCCCUCUGCGCAACGAGCUUUCACGAGCACGCGCGAAAAGGACCCCGCGGGCCGGUCUCCCCUUUUAUCUAUUUCUAAA